GAGGGUAGGUCCCUCGAAGUCGGCUUGCAGGAGCAGACUUCAAACCGCCUCACGCUGCUUGGGGUUGAAAGGCCUCGGGUGGUGAGCGGAUGAGGAAAAGGCGUACAAAGAUACGUCAGGU
Syntrophobacterales bacterium RBG_19FT_COMBO_59_10 is the source of this 121-nucleotide non-coding RNA. Lineage: Bacteria; Pseudomonadati; Thermodesulfobacteriota; Syntrophobacteria; Syntrophobacterales. The record is from Rfam.